RNAcentral lists this ribosomal RNA (787 nucleotides) under uncultured bacterium. RNAcentral describes it as "bacterial SSU rRNA". It matches the Rfam family "Bacterial small subunit ribosomal RNA", at positions 28 to 793 of the family's 1533-position model. The record is from RNAcentral.
GACGAACGCUGGCGGCGUGCCUAACACAUGCAAGUCGAACGAGUCCACCCUUCGGGGUGAGGCGAGUGGCGGACGGGUGAGUAACACGUGAGCAACCUGUCUCUGUGUGGGGGAUAACCCGGGGAAACCCGGGCUAAUACCGCAUGGGCGGAGACUCCGAGUGGAGACUCCGGGAAAGUUGGCCUCUUUGCAAUGCUGAUGCGCAGGGAGGGGCUCGCGGGCUAUCAGCUAGUUGGUGAGGUCACGGCUCACCAAGGCGACGACGGCUAGGGGGUCUGAGAGGACGACCCCCCACAUUGGAACUGAGACACGGUCCAGACUCCUACGGGAGGCAGCAGUGGGGAAUUUUGGGGCAAUGGCCGCAAGGCUGACCCAGCGACGCCGCGUGCGGGAGGACGCCCUCGGGGUGUAAAACCGCUGUCAGGGGGGAAGAAUGCCGGGGCAGAGAAUACCUGCCUCGGGUGACGGUACCCUCAAAGGAAGCGCCGGCUAACUCCGUGCCAGCAGCCGCGGUAAGACGGAGGGCGCGAGCGCUGUCGAUCACUGGGCGUAAAGCGCGCGCAGGCGGGACUAGCAAGUCGGAAGUGAAAUUUCGGGGCUCAACUCCGAGGCUGCUUCCGAAACUGCGGACCUGGAGACUGGUAGAGGUGGGUGGAAUUCCCGGUGUAGCGGUGGAAUGCGUAGAGAUCGGGAAGAACACCGGUGGCGAAGGCGGCCCACUGGGCCAGUUUCUGACGCUGAGGCGCGAAAAGCGUGGGGGAGCAAACAGGAUUAGAUACCCUGGUAG